CAAGGGCGUAUAUUAAAGUUGUUGCAGUUAAAAAGCUCGUAGUUGGAUUUCUGGUGGGAGCGAUCGGUCUGGCGCUUAGCGCGAGUACUUGCAUCGUCUCCGGCCAUCCUUGGGGAGAGUCUGUCUGGCAUUAAGUUGUCGGGCAGAGGAUCCUCAUCGUUUACUGUGAAAAAAUUAGAGUGUUCAAAGCAGGCUUAUGCCGUUGAAUAUAUUAGCAUGGAAUAAUAAGAUAGGACUUUGGUACUAUUUUGUUGGUUUGCGCACCAAAGUAAUGAUUAAUAGGGACAGUUGGGGGUAUUCGUAUUCCGUUGUCAGAGGUGAAAUUCUUGGAUUUACGGAAGACGAACUACUGCGAAAGCAUUUACCAAGGAUGUUUUCAUUAA
RNAcentral lists this ribosomal RNA (383 nucleotides) under uncultured eukaryote. Its description in RNAcentral is "partial 18S ribosomal RNA". It matches the Rfam family "Eukaryotic small subunit ribosomal RNA", at positions 592 to 976 of the family's 1831-position model. The record is from RNAcentral.